UCACCCCUCAAGCCCCGCGCUUGGCGUUGGACGGCUGGUCGAGCGAUCGACCCCUCCUAAAGACAAUGACGGCGGCCUGUGGUUCCCCCGGUACACUGAGCUUUUAAUUGAGCACGUAUCGGACAAGGGCACCCGGGACCCGGUCCUCUCCUUUAACUAGGAAACUUCUAA
Molecule: unclassified non-coding RNA, 171 nt
Filed under: uncultured Cladophialophora
Lineage: Eukaryota; Fungi; Ascomycota; Eurotiomycetes; Chaetothyriales; Herpotrichiellaceae
Description: sequence contains ITS2
Source: RNAcentral